ACGGGAGGCAGCAGUGGGGAAUAUUGCACAAUGGGGGAAACCCUGAUGCAGCGACGCCGCGUGAGUGAAGAAGUAUUUCGGUAUGUAAAGCUCUAUCAGCAGGGAAGAUAAUGACGGUACCUGACUAAGAAGCCCCGGCUAACUACGUGCCAGCAGCCGCGGUAAUACGUAGGGGGCAAGCGUUAUCCGGAUUUACUGGGUGUAAAGGGAGCGUAGGUGGUAUGGCAAGUCAGAAGUGAAAUGCGGGGGCUCAACCCCUGAACUGCUUUUGAAACUGUCAAACUAGAGUGCUGGAGAGGUAAGUGGAAUUCCUAGUGUAGCGGUGAAAUGCGUAGAUAUUAGGAGGAACACCAGUGGCGAAGGCGACUUACUGGACAGUAACUGACACUAAGGCUCGAAAACGUGGGGAGCAAACAGGAUUAGAUACCCUGGUA
RNAcentral lists this ribosomal RNA (434 nucleotides) under uncultured bacterium. RNAcentral describes it as "partial 16S ribosomal RNA". It matches the Rfam family "Bacterial small subunit ribosomal RNA", at positions 341 to 792 of the family's 1533-position model. The record is from RNAcentral.